CCUACGGGUGGCAGCAGUGAGGAAUAUUGGUCAAUGGUCGGGAGCCUGAACCAGCCAAGCCGCGUGAGGGAGGAAGGUACAGAGUAUCGUAAACCUCUUUUGUCGGGGAACAAAGGCGGGGACGUGUCCCCGGAUGAGUGUACCUGAAGAAAAAGCAUCGGCUAACUCCGUGCCAGCAGCCGCGGUAAUACGGAGGAUGCGAGCGUUAUCCGGAUUUAUUGGGGUUAGAGGGUGCGCAGGGGGGCUGUUAAGUCAGCGGUAAAAGCCCGGGGCUCAACCCCGACCCGCCGUUGAAACUGGCAGUCUAGAGUUGGAGAGAAGUAUGCGGAAUGCGCGGUGUAGCGGUGAAAUGCAUAGAUAUCGCGCAGAACUCCGAUUGCGAAGGCAGCAUGCCGGCUCCACACUGACGCUGAGGCACGAAAGCGUGGGUAUCGAACAGGAUUAGAUACCCGUGUAGUC
This 459-nucleotide ribosomal RNA is filed under the name uncultured bacterium. RNAcentral's name for it is "partial 16S ribosomal RNA". It matches the Rfam family "Bacterial small subunit ribosomal RNA", at positions 338 to 795 of the family's 1533-position model. The record is from RNAcentral.